This 532-nucleotide small RNA is filed under the name Pan troglodytes (chimpanzee). RNAcentral describes it as "processed transcript". Lineage: Eukaryota; Metazoa; Chordata; Mammalia; Primates; Hominidae. The record is from RNAcentral.
GUUGGGGUCCUGGCAGGGAGCGGGCCGGGGCUGGCCUGGCCGAGCGGGUCCUGGAGCCGGAGCCUUUGUUUCCCUCUGGGCUGGGUUCACUAGCGGCGGGUAGUUUUCCACUUGUUGCUAUUUUAUAAAUGAGAAGUUUGAUGAACAUCCUUAUACAUACGUAUUUGCACACAUCCUUGAGAGGUUCCUGGAAAUAAGAUUGACGGAUAAAAAGCAGUGCUUAUUGCCUGGUGUGGUGGCUCACACCUGUAAUCACAGCACUUUGGGAGGCCUAGGCGAAUGGAUCACCUGAGGUCAGGAGUUGAAGACCAGCCUGGCCAACGAAGGAUCGAGAUCGAGACCGGGAUCGUGAAGAUCGGUCUAAAGAUCGAGACCGAGAACGUGAUAGAGGAGAUAGAGAGCGAGAGAGGGAGAAAGAGAAGGAGAAGGAGUUGCGAGCUUCAACGAAUGCUAUGCUUAUCAGUGCUGGAUUACCACCUUUGAAAGCUUCCCAUUCAGCUCACUCAACCCACUCAGCACAUUCAACGCAUUC